CCUACAACACUGACCUUUAUGACUUUGUAGGAGUGUAGGGUCACCACUGGAGACACAGACAGCUGUUUAGUGAGCUCUUUAAAGCUUAAUUUCCAUCAUUUAAUCAUUAGUUAUUAUUAAUCUCUGGCUCUCUUCCACAGCGUGUCUUUGUCCUGUUUUUGACCCCUUAUCCCCAACCGGUUGCAGCAGAUGGCCACCCACCCAGAGCCUGGUUCUGCCUGAGGUUUCUUCCUGUUAGAAGGGAGUUUUUCCUUCACACUGUCGCCAAAACGCUUGCUCAGUCAUAUGGUUGUUGUAGUUUUCUCUCUAUAAUAGUACCUAGAGGCAACUGUUGUUGUGACUUGGUGCUAUAUAAAUAAAAUAGACCUGAAUAUUGAAAAGGUAAUUGUUUGGAUCCCUUUGAAACAUUUAAAGGAGCACAACUAUGCACAGCUUUUCAUUCUGUCCAACAGAAUCAAGGCUGAUGAUCUCCUGAUGUACGCUGAUACAGAGCAAGCGGGUUUUAUUCAAGCUUCAUUUAAACCCAGAGUCCUCAAAGUGCAGCAGGCCAGCGGUGGCCUCUGUUAACAAUUCAUGCAGCCCUCUAACAACUCAGAAAGAAUGCCCUUCUGUACAUUUCAUUCAUCCGGUGCUGCUACAUUAUGUCACACUGCAAAGUAGUUGCACUGACUGUGACCAAGGGAGCUUUCUCUUUAGGUUUUAACUUUUCUGUCUUAAAUCUACUUAACAUUAUCAAAUAAAGCUGGGUUACUAAGCAGAAAAAAAUACAAACACUGAAUAUUUGCACAAGUUUAAAAACCUCUGAUUUAAAGCAUGGUGCUGCCAUACUGAGACUGAAAUAGUGAGUGCUGCUAGUUGGCACACAACCUCCAAAAUAAGCCAGAAAGACAGGCAUUUUUGGCAUUCUGUUCCCUUAUAAAGUUAGGUUGUACACAUACAGCAGCUACACCUUCACAACCUACAACCAACCACCACGAACAACCACAUGAAUUUAACCCUUGAGACUGUUUAUUCAUAACUUUGAAACCCUUGCGUUUCAGUCUUGAAAUAUAAAGAAACAGCAGUUAAAGAUGAUUUACAGCUCAUCAUCUGCUGAACAAAGCACGUCUCCUACUUCACAGGACGGCAUUUGCAGCGUAUCUUUACUGGAGGUUUCCGGUCUAAACAUCACCGCACUGUAAGCUGCAUUCGGUUUCCAUUCUUGUGAUGUCACCAAAUCCUGUUUGUGUUGAACUGAAGCAAAGAGAAACUUUUUCCCCUUCAGCAGAUAAAUGUGUCAUACUGUGCACAAAGCUCGACAUCAUUCCACACAGUCAAACAUCAAAGGGAAGCAACAAAAAAGCGAGACAUCAUUUGGAAUCGAGGGGACUUUAAAAGACAAUUCAUGCAUUGAAAUCCUGAACUGCUGCACUCAAUGAGACACCUGGUGAGCAGUAUGUGCAUUACACUGGGCCAUGAAUGAGAAAUCACUUUGGCUCUGAGACAACAACGGCUGUUGGAGGCUGAAUGAUGGCCCUGGAAUCUAAAGGACUGUACUUUAGAUUAGAUGCCUUCCUGUGACGUUACCUCGGUCAGAGUGGACAACAACCUCUGUGUGUUGUCCAGAGUGGUCCAGCAGUCAGACAGACAGUGGGACAUGUCCCUGAGUUUCUCCCUGACCGGAGGGAGUCGGAUCUGGACGUCGCUCAGGCCUGCCCAGUCCAGUUCACACCAGCCCUCCAAAUCACUGAGCACUGACAGAGUCUCACUGUGCAGCUCCUGAAAGAUGCAGGAAAAUGUGCUGUCAAGAAGUAUUUACUGUAGAAGACUGAUAGGACACACUUGGGAAAUCAUGGAUGGAAAAAUAUUGACUGCGUCUCUUGGGAAUAAACUGGGAAAACUUUUCAUUAGCUCGUUUCCAUGAGAAUGACACAAAUAUGCCACUGAAAGGCACAGUGGGCUCAAAGCACAUCUAUUCACAGUUUAUACUUUCAGUUAUUGACUUCUCAAACCCUACAGUGGGUGAUUCACAGUAACACAUGUGUCUUAAGUACGACUAAUAAGAUUUCUUAUCCCAGAGUUGACGUGACAGAAGGGAUGUUUUUGUUGGUGAUGUUAAAGUGCUGACAGAUACUGUAGGAACAAAGUGAAAGCAAAGAGUCUGAGGGCGGAUGCUUAAACUGUAUGUAAAUAUUCUCCAUGUUGUUAUUAUGAUGUAUGUUUACAUUACCAGAAGUCAUUUACAUGCAGAUAAAACUGGACACACUGCCUUUGUGUUUGAUGAAGGUCAGUCGGACCAAACCACUGUGAUGUAGUAAAUGUAUUAGCGGUACAUGAGACGGUGUGUGGGAGUCAUAUUUCACUGUUCUGUGAAUAUCGUGAAUAAAAUCUAACUGAGCUUUAGAAGACCAGUUACACCAGUCUAUAUGAGCCACAGCAGCCAACGCAUAAGUACUAUCAAGAGCUCAGAUCUAGACAUCGCUAUAAACAUUCGAGAA
This is a long non-coding RNA of Oreochromis niloticus (Nile tilapia), 2477 nucleotides long. RefSeq lists it as uncharacterized. The transcript has 3 exons. NCBI's taxonomy places the organism in Eukaryota, Metazoa, Chordata, Actinopteri, Cichliformes, Cichlidae. The record is from RefSeq and is a predicted model, not a curated record.